GAUGAACGCUGGCGGCGUGCCUAAUACAUGCAAGUCGAGCGAACAGACGAGGAGCUUGCUCCUCUGACGUUAGCGGCGGACGGGUGAGUAACACGUGGAUAACCUACCUAUAAGACUGGGAUAACUUCGGGAAACCGGAGCUAAUACCGGAUAAUAUAUUGAACCGCAUGGUUCAAUAGUGAAAGACGGUUUUGCUGUCACUUAUAGAUGGAUCCGCGCCGCAUUAGCUAGUUGGUAAGGUAACGGCUUACCAAGGCAACGAUGCGUAGCCGACCUGAGAGGGUGAUCGGCCACACUGGAACUGAGACACGGUCCAGACUCCUACGGGAGGCAGCAGUAGGGAAUCUUCCGCAAUGGGCGAAAGCCUGACGGAGCAACGCCGCGUGAGUGAUGAAGGUCUGCGGAUCGUAAAAUUCUGUUAUUAGGGAAGAACAAAUGUGUAAGUAACUAUGCACGUCUUGACGGUACCUAAUCAGAAAGCCACGGAUAACUACGU
This 496-nucleotide ribosomal RNA is filed under the name uncultured bacterium. Its description in RNAcentral is "partial 16S ribosomal RNA". It matches the Rfam family "Bacterial small subunit ribosomal RNA", at positions 28 to 506 of the family's 1533-position model. The record is from RNAcentral.